GAUUAGCCAUGCAUGUCUAAGUAUAAGCAAUCUAUACGUGAAACUGCGAAUGGCUCAUUAAAUCAGUUAUCGUUUAUUUGAUAGUACCUUACUACAUGGAUAACCGUGGUAAUUCUAGAGCUAAUACAUGCUAAAAACCCCGACUUCGGAAGGGGUGUAUUUAUUAGAUAAAAAACCAGCGCCCUYCGGGGCUCCUUGGUGAUUCAUAAUAACUCAACGAAUCGCAUGGCCUUGCGCCGGCGAUGGUUCAUUCAAAUUUCUGCCCUAUCAACUUUCGAUGGUAGGAUAGUGGCCUACCAUGGUAUCAACGGGUAACGGGGAAUUAGGGUUCUAUUCCGGAGAGGGAGCCUGAGAAACGGCUACCACAUCCAAGGAAGGCAGCAGGCGCGCAAAUUACCCAAUCCCGACACGGGGAGGUAGUGACAAUAAAUACUGAUACAGGGCUCUUUCGGGUCUUGUAAUUGGAAUGAGUACAAUUUAAAUCCCUUAACGAGGAACAAUUGGAGGGCAAGUCUGGUGCCAGCAGCCGCGGUAAUUCCAGCUCCAAUAGCGUAUAUUAAAGUUGUUGCAGUUAAAAAGCUCGUAGUUGAACCUUGGGCCUGGCUGGCCGGUCCGCCUCACCGCGUGYACUGGUCCGGCCGGGCCUUUCCUUCUGGGGAKCCGCAUGCCCUUCRCUGGGCGUGCCGGGGAACCAGGACUUUUACUUUGAAAAAAUUAGAGUGUUCAAAGCAGGCCUUUGCUCGAAUACAUUAGCA
Molecule: ribosomal RNA, 755 nt
Filed under: Saxomyces penninicus
Lineage: Eukaryota; Fungi; Ascomycota; Dothideomycetes
Description: SSU rRNA
Rfam family: Eukaryotic small subunit ribosomal RNA
Source: RNAcentral